RNAcentral lists this ribosomal RNA (431 nucleotides) under uncultured bacterium. RNAcentral describes it as "partial 16S ribosomal RNA". It matches the Rfam family "Bacterial small subunit ribosomal RNA", at positions 28 to 506 of the family's 1533-position model. The record is from RNAcentral.
GAUGAACGCUGGCGGUAUGCUUAACACAUGCAAGUCGAACGGUCACUUCGGUGAUAGUGGCGGACGGGUGAGUAACGCGUGAGAAUCUGUCUUCAGGUCGGGGACAACAGUUAGAAAUGACUGCUAAUACCGGAUGUGCCUUUGGGUGAAAGAUUUAUUGCCUGAAAAAGAGCUCGCGUCAGAUUAGCUAGUAGGUGGUGUAAGAGACUACCUAGGCUCCGAUCUGUAGCUGGUCUGAGAGGACGAUCAGCCACACUGGAACUGAGACACGGUCCAGACUCCUACGGGCGGCAGCAGUGGGGAAUUUUCCGCAAUGGGCGAAAGCCUGACGGAGCAAUACCGCGUGAGGGACGAAGGCUUUUGGGUCGUAAACCUCUUUUCUCAAGGAAGAUGAUGACGGUACUUGAGGAAUAAGCAUCGGCUAACUCUGU